UGGGGAAUAUUGGACAAUGGGCGCAAGCCUGGUCCAGCCAUGCCGCGUGGGUGAAGAAGGCCUUCGGGUUGUAAAGCCCUUUUGUUGGGAAAGAAAAGCAGUCGGUUAAUACCCGAUUGUCCUGACGGUACUCAAAGAAUAAGCACCGGCUAACUUCGUGCCAGCAGCCGCGGUAAUACGAAGGGUGCAAGCGUUACUCGGAAUUACUGGGCGUAAAGCGUGCGUAGGUGGUGGUUUAAGUCUGUUGUGAAAGCACUGGGCUCAACCGGGGAAUUGCAGUGGAUACUGGGUCACUAGAGUGUGGUAGAGGGUAGCGGAAUUCCCGGUGUAGCAGUGAAAUGCGUAGAGAUCGGGAGGAACAUCCGUGGCGAAGGCGGCUACCUGGACCAACACUGACACUGAGGCACGAAAGCGUGGGGAGCAAAC
This 426-nucleotide ribosomal RNA is filed under the name uncultured bacterium. Its description in RNAcentral is "bacterial SSU rRNA". It matches the Rfam family "Bacterial small subunit ribosomal RNA", at positions 355 to 773 of the family's 1533-position model. The record is from RNAcentral.